UACGUAGGGUUCAAGCGUUAUUCGGAAUUACUGGGCGUAAAGCAUAUGUAGGCGGUUUAAUAAGUUAGAAGUGUAAUCCCUGGGCUUAACUCAGGAACUGCUUCUAAAACGGUUAGACUCGAGUAUGGUAGAGGGCAGUGGAAUUCUUGGUGUAGGGGUAAAAUCCGUAGAUAUCAAGAGGAACACCGAAAGCGAAGGCAGCUGCCUGGGCCAUUACUGACGCUGAGAUAUGAAAGCGUGGGGAGCAAACAGG
Molecule: ribosomal RNA, 253 nt
Filed under: uncultured bacterium
Lineage: Bacteria
Description: partial 16S ribosomal RNA
Rfam family: Bacterial small subunit ribosomal RNA
Source: RNAcentral